Molecule: ribosomal RNA, 696 nt
Filed under: uncultured Vagococcus sp.
Lineage: Bacteria; Bacillati; Bacillota; Bacilli; Lactobacillales; Enterococcaceae
Description: bacterial SSU rRNA
Rfam family: Bacterial small subunit ribosomal RNA
Source: RNAcentral
AAACGAUGAGUGCUAAGUGUUAGGGGGUUUCCCCCUUUAGUGCUGCAGCUAACGCAUUAAGCACUCCGCUGGGGAGUACGACCGCAAGGUUGAAACUCAAAGGAAUUGACGGGGGCCCGCACAAGCGGUGGAGCAUGUGGUUUAAUUCGAAGCAACGCGAAGAACCUUACCAGGUCUUGACAUCCUUUGACCACUUUAGAGAUAAAGCUUUCCCUUCGGGGACAAAGUGACAGGUGGUGCAUGGUUGUCGUCAGCUCGUGUCGUGAGAUGUUGGGUUAAGUCCCGCAACGAGCGCAACCCUUAUUGUUAGUUGCCAUCAUUCAGUUGGGCACUCUAGCGAAACUGCCGGUGACAAACCGGAGGAAGGUGGGGAUGACGUCAAAUCAUCAUGCCCCUUAUGACCUGGGCUACACACGUGCUACAAUGGACAGUACAAUGAGCAGCGACACGGCGACGUGAAGCGAAUCUCAUAAAGCUGUUCUCAGUUCGGAUUGUAGGCUGCAACUCGCCUACAUGAAGUCGGAAUCGCUAGUAAUCGCGGAUCAGCACGCCGCGGUGAAUACGUUCCCGGGCCUUGUACACACCGCCCGUCACACCACGAAAGUUUGUAACACCCAAAGUCGGUGAGGUAACCUUCGGGAGCCAGCCGCCUAAGGUGGGAUAGAUGAUUGGGGUGAAGUCGUAACAAGGUAACCA